This 1527-nucleotide ribosomal RNA is filed under the name Escherichia coli. RNAcentral's name for it is "partial 23S ribosomal RNA". It matches the Rfam family "Bacterial large subunit ribosomal RNA", at positions 1 to 1564 of the family's 2925-position model. Lineage: Bacteria; Pseudomonadati; Pseudomonadota; Gammaproteobacteria; Enterobacterales; Enterobacteriaceae. The record is from RNAcentral.
GGGUUGUGAGGUUAAGCGACUAAGCGUACACGGUGGAUGCCCUGGCAGUCAGAGGCGAUGAAGGACGUGCUAAUCUGCGAUAAGCGUCGGUGAGGUGAUAUGAACCGUUAUAACCGGCGAUUUCCGAAUGGGGAAACCCAGUGUGUUUCGACACACUAUCAUUAACUGAAUCCAUAGGUUAAUGAGGCGAACCGGGGGAACUGAAACAUCUAAGUACCCCGAGGAAAAGAAAUCAACCGAGAUUCCCCCAGUAGCGGCGAGCGAACGGGGAGGAGCCCAGAGCCUGAAUCAGUGUGUGUGUUAGUGGAAGCGUCUGGAAAGGCGUGCGAUACAGGGUGACAGCCCCGUACACAAAAAUGCACAUAUUGUGAGCUCGAUGAGUAGGGCGGGACACGUGGUAUCCUGUCUGAAUAUGGGGGGACCAUCCUCCAAGGCUAAAUACUCCUGACUGACCGAUAGUGAACCAGUACCGUGAGGGAAAGGCGAAAAGAACCCCGGCGAGGGGAGUGAAAAAGAACCUGAAACCGUGUACGUACAAGCAGUGGGAGCCUCUUAAUGGGGUGACUGCGUACCUUUUGUAUAAUGGGUCAGCGACUUAUAUUCUGUAGCAAGGUUAACCGAAUAGGGGAGCCGAAGGGAAACCGAGUCUUAACUGGGCGUUAAGUUGCAGGGUAUAGACCCGAAACCCGGUGAUCUAGCCAUGGGCAGGUUGAAGGUUGGGUAACACUAACUGGAGGACCGAACCGACUAAUGUUGAAAAAUUAGCGGAUGACUUGUGGCUGGGGGUGAAAGGCCAAUCAAACCGGGAGAUAGCUGGUUCUCCCCGAAAGCUAUUUAGGUAGCGCCUCGUGAAUUCAUCUCCGGGGGUAGAGCACUGUUUCGGCAAGGGGGUCAUCCCGACUUACCAACCCGAUGCAAACUGCGAAUACCGGAGAAUGUUAUCACGGGAGACACACGGCGGGUGCUAACGUCCGUCGUGAAGAGGGAAACAACCCAGACCGCCAGCUAAGGUCCCAAAGUCAUGGUUAAGUGGGAAACGAUGUGGGAAGGCCCAGACAGCCAGGAUGUUGGCUUAGAAGCAGCCAUCAUUUAAAGAAAGCGUAAUAGCUCACUGGUCGAGUCGGCCUGCGCGGAAGAUGUAACGGGGCUAAACCAUGCACCGAAGCUGCGGCAGCGACACUAUGUGUUGUUGGGUAGGGGAGCGUUCUGUAAGCCUGUGAAGGUGGCCUGUGAGGGUUGCUGGAGGUAUCAGAAGUGCGAAUGCUGACAUAAGUAACGAUAAAGCGGGUGAAAAGCCCGCUCGCCGGAAGACCAAGGGUUCCUGUCCAACGUUAAUCGGGGCAGGGUGAGUCGACCCCUAAGGCGAGGCCGAAAGGCGUAGUCGAUGGGAAACAGGUUAAUAUUCCUGUACUUGGUGUUACUGCGAAGGGGGGACGGAGAAGGCUAUGUUGGCCGGGCGACGGUUGUCCCGGUUUAAGCGUGUAGGCUGGUUUUCCAGGCAAAUCCGGAAAACCAAGGCUGAGGCGU